This 65-nucleotide transfer RNA is filed under the name Dolichoderus pilosus. RNAcentral describes it as "tRNA-Leu". Lineage: Eukaryota; Metazoa; Arthropoda; Insecta; Hymenoptera; Formicidae. The record is from RNAcentral.
UUUAAUAUGGCAGAUUAGUGCAAUGAAUUUAAAUUUCAUUUAUAAAGUAAUUUCUUUUAUUAAAA